Molecule: transfer RNA, 74 nt
Filed under: Clostridiaceae bacterium
Lineage: Bacteria; Bacillati; Bacillota; Clostridia; Eubacteriales; Clostridiaceae
Also listed under: 1 other name
Description: tRNA-Gln
Rfam family: tRNA
About the family: Transfer RNA (tRNA) molecules are approximately 80 nucleotides in length. Their secondary structure includes four short double-helical elements and three loops (D, anti-codon, and T loops).
Source: RNAcentral
UGCGGAAUGGUGUAACGGUAGCACGAAUGACUCUGACUCAUUUUGUCUGGGUUCGAAUCCUAGUUCCGCAGCCA